GGAGAGGGAACUGAUUACUCACUUCCUUUUUGCAGCAAGGGCGACAAUAGCUAAACAUUAGAGGGGGGAAAAUGUUAAGGUCAUGAAUCUAGAAUAUCGUUACAGGAAAGUUUGGGCCAAUAGCUGUACUGGAAAGAUUGUCUCGCAAACUUCGAGUAAGGCAGAGGUCAAAGAAACACAGACAAGUUUUUAGAAGGCAGGCAUUUGACUACUAAUAUUGUAAGUAGCCAGGAAUCUGGGAGAUCAGUUCCAACUGCAUAUAAAAUGGUUUGUUCUUUUUAAGGGAAAUAGCAUCAGUUGAAGAAGGGUGAGAUGAAUUAAGGACAACAAAAUGCGAAUCUUUUUAAUGGAGUUAAGGUUAUAGUAAACCAUCAAUGCUGUAAAGGGGGAAAAAUAGUAUGAUCUAUUAUAGUAGUUCAAACAUUAAAUUAAAUAAAAGAUUCUUAAUUCUACUUGUAGAAUAUAUUGUGCUUUAAAUGUAACCUGAAUUUUGAAAUACUGUUGAUGGAGUAUUUCUACUUCAAUCAAUAUUACUGUUGUAAAACAGUUUGGUAUGGGAAAUAAAUAUAAUGAAAAGGAAAAUGAAAACCUCUGAUGUGGAGGGCUGGGACACUGGAUUUUAAGUGUUUGCCACCCCAAAUACAUUCGUUUUGUAUCAGAUGCCAGACCAGCCUUUCCCAAUGCUUUGGACUCCAACUCCCAUCAACCUCAACCAGCAUGCUCAGUGGUCAGGGCUGACUAGAUUUGAAGUCCCAAGCAUCUAGAUGUCUCCCAUGAGCUGAAUUGGUGACGCCUUCUGAGAUCUGAUGAGUCUCCCCAUUUUGUGUAUUUGUAUGAAGGGGAGUUCCAGUGCAGCUGGGGAAAGGGAUCCCGGAAGUGGGGGCAGGGGAGAAGAAGGCUAUGAUCUUGCAGCUAAGCCAUCCAGAAUUCACCAUGGCACUAGGGUGCUGCAGUUGCUAGCAUAUUCCUAAUGUGCUGAGAAGUUUGAAACAAUAAAAAGGGGAAGUUUAUGUGUCCACAAACUCAAAAGUUUAUAUGUUCCUGGACACCAAAAUAAACACUGGGAUACUCCAUAUCAUACACCUGCACAAUCGUAACAAUAAUGGUUGUACAAAGUUAUCAUGCUUCCAGAAUACUAAUAAAUGCAUGAUGACAUUGCAUUGUCUACACCAGGCAGAGGCAAACUCUGGCCCUCCAGAUGUUUGGGACUACAAUUCCCAUCAUCCCUAGCUAAUGGGACCAGUGGUCAGGGAUGAUGGGAAUUGUAGUCCCAAACAUCUGGAGGGCCAGAGUUUGCCUAUGUGUGGUCUACACACACAGAGAGAGAGUUGUAUUUAUUCAUUUGGGGUUUUCUUUUCCCCUCAGGCUUCUCUAAAUGCAACACUCUACAUAAAUUCAAAGAUUUCUGUGCUUAAAAUACUUCAGUUUUGUGUGUUUUCACUAAUAACUUUUGAAUUUGACCAGGAGGAAAUGUUCAAGCAGUGAUACUGAUGUAGAACAGAAUGUCUCUAUUUUCAUCUGAGGAAUGUUGGAGGGUAUGAAGUAGUUGCAUACAACAGUCAUACUGGGAGUGGACCCACUGAAUGUAAUGCACAUGACUAAUAUAGGUUCGUUCAUUUAAGUGGGCCUACUCUGAGGAGAACUUGGUUGAAUGCAACUCUAUAACUCCAAAUCUAACCCCACAUACAUGAACUAAUCCCACUGAAUUCCACGGGACUUCCCCUCGAGUAGACAUGAGUUAGGCUUGCGCUAUAAACUAACUUAUCCAGUGUCACAUUUGCUGCUGACAUUGCAAAAUUAUAGCAUCAUCAACAGUAGAGAGCCAGGAUGCUUUAAAUGGGCACUUACAGAAAAAAAGCUCAAAGUCAAAUUUUAUUAAGAGUCUAUUAACAACUUGCCAUCACCAGCUCAUUAGCAGAGACGUGAGACAACAAAGCUAUUAAAAAUGUAUAAAACCAGCAAUAUGCCUCUCUUCACUGUUUUACAGGCUACUAGCAAGGCCAAUAAAACAGAGUGCCAAAUUUAUUUAUUUUAUUUUUUAAAAAAACCCCAACAACAAUUACACAGCAGUUUAAAGAUCUGGAGCAUCCUUCCCAUAUUAACCCCUGACAAAUGUUUGGAGUGGGAGAGAAGAUAUGCACUUAUAUACAUUACAAGUGCUUUCAAGCCAAGAAUAUCAAAACAUUCUUCACUAUGAAUUAAUAAAUUACCAAAUCAAUCUUUUAUUUUAUUUAAUGUAUUAAUGCAGCCCCUGCUCUCAGGUUUAUAAUCUAAGAGACACAACAGGAAAGGGAAAGAGAUUGGGGUGGAGCGGGGAGGAAAUUUAGGCAUCAGUGCUGUGCCAAAUGGUCUUUACAGUGGUGCCCCGCAAGACGAAUGCCUCGCAAGAUGGAAAACCCGCUAGACGAAAGGGUUUUCCGUUUUCAAUGCGCUUCGCAGGAAAAAUAUCCAUAUGGGCUUGAUUCGCAAGACGAAAAUGUCGUGGGAGUCUAGAGAAUUUUUUUUUGCUUUACCCCCCCCUUUAUCUAAACUGCUAAGCCUUUAAUAGCCUUUAAUAGCCUUUUAGCAGCUAAUCCCCUAAGCCUUUAAGCCUUUAAUAGCCGCUAAACCGCUAAUAGCGCUAAUCCGUUAAGCCGCUAAUAGGGUUGCUUCGCAAGACGAAAAAACCGCUAGACGAAGACUCUCGCGGAACGGAUUAAUUUCGUCUUGCAAGGCACCACUGUAUAUUAAACAUUCACAGCAUACGGGAGUUGAAGUGAAAUUAUUGUUGGGGAAGGGGGUAAAACACUUUUUUAAAAUUGUGAGAGAUGAGGUUAGGAGGGCCAUAGGAAUCAAAUAAGGCGGCAGUACCUCUGAUGGGGGAAAUGUCAUGCCUCUUCCCGGGGAAUUUGUCCACCUUUGGUUCCCACCUGGCAAUCAACUCUCACUUGUGGCUCCUAGAAGCUGUCAGCGUGCGACAGCAGCCACACUCUGGGAAACCGCUUUGACUGGCCAGCUAAACCAGAUGAGGGUAGCUGAUGGGUCUCAAACCCUCAGUACGUUAGGGACAUCCUUUGCAUGCGAAGACACGUUUUGGUGGAUUGAGCAGAUGAGACCAAUAGUGGGUCCAAAGGCCAAUAAGCUGAUCAACCUUGGAAGGUAGUCCAUCAAACUCUCACCCUCAACCUCCACACCUUGCAUGAUACCUUCGGGAGAAGGAAAGGCUAAGGAGUACACCCUACACGAAUCCAGAGUGGUGCCUUGUACACCUCCUUCAGGCAAUUCCUGCAGCCAAGCUAGUGCAAACACACUGCUGUGCUUUCCUUUGGACCAUAUCAGUGAGGCCAAGAGAGGGUCUUGUUGUCUGGGAGCCUAGGACCUCCAUACACUGGCCAGGCUUGCGUCCCAUGGAGGUCACUUUAGUGCUGCUAACACAAUGGUUGGACUUCACCCCCGGAGGUGCACUCCAUGGUUUCUCAAGACAGACAGAUGCCAACAACAGCAAUACAAGAAACAGAUCACAACUGUUCCUAAAAUUAUAUUGCAAUACAAAUAUUCGCUUGCCAAUUUAAAAAGCCAGGCUUGCAAGCAAUUCUCAUUCUGGUCUGCUCCAGAAGCUCACUGCUGAAUUCUCCUUACCGCUCAACAUCCUUACAUAGCCACACUGCCAAUAUUCAUCUUAAACUGAUGAUUCGGGUUAUCAUGACGGAUCAUACCACCAGGCUUUCCCUAAUCUCAAUAGUUUCUUGUCUAUCUUGCUUCUGCACCAGACUUCUCUCUCAACUCCUUCUCAGCCAGUGUUUCUCUGUCAUCUUCUUUCUUGAUUUCCUCUUCUCUUCCAAAGUCUCUCAACAGAAUAGGCCUACUAGCAAGCCUAUCCUCCAACCAAUCAGAUUUGAAUUGGCAUAGAAUGCUCCCCCUCCACUUUUCCCAUCCAGUGAGUGAUCAUGAAUUGCUACCCAGUAAGCCAAUCAGGUGUGAUUUUAGAAUCCUCUCAGUAUUUUAAAGAACCCAGUUUUCCUCAGACCAGUCUUAUGUUAGUAAAUAACAACUAUCUGUCAGCCACCAACUGAUACUUACGGUAAUAUUUCAAAUUUACAUGACCCCACAUACACAUACAUUAUAUCUAAACCAAACCCUGUUUUAGUAAACAGCGAUUUAUCCAUGCUAAUUAUUAACCUUAUUAAAGAGGGAGGGGAGACCCCAGUGUCUCCAAGCUGAGAUACGAGAGCCCCAUCUGUAUUGGCAUUCUGCUGGCUUUUGAAGAUGCACCUGUUUACACAGGUAUUCCUUUGAUUUCUCCUGUUUUCAUUACUGUGUUUUAAUGCAAUUGCCUUUUUUGUGUGUGUUAACUAUGGAUCUUUAUAUUUUAAGUACUUUUAUGAGAUUGUUUUACUGUGUAUUUUAAUUAUGGGUGCUUAUGCUCUGCACAAUAGGAUUUUUAUACUUUAAAACCACUGAGAAGCCUACUUUGGUAUUGAGCAUUAUACUGAUAAACAAUUAGCACAGGCCUCAGGAUGCUGGCAAAGACCCACAUAGUUAAGUCCCAGUUUACCCAGUGGGUUAACUAAGAAAACCUACUGGGUUUUCUGAAGUAGGAUGGCAAUCUCCUCUUUCUUGCAGAUGAGGGCAACAUGUGACACUGAAGGAGCGUGUGGCCUUUUGCCUAAGCACUGAGGCAAGCCUCUCGCACCAGAGGAGAGAAAAAACAGGCAAAUGCUGGUAUAGGAACUGAACUCAGCUAUACAUCACUGUCGGCAGCAAUUUGCACCAGGGCAUGGAGCUCUCAUAGGCGUGUUAUUGGCUGGAUGGUGCAGUGCUCCUGGCCAUAUAUUACUGGUGCCUGCCAGGGGAGGGGAUUGUUCAGAAAUAAGUGGGCCAGCAGCAAGUAAUUGAUGCCCAAGGUGGAGUUCAUCUCAUUUUUCUUUCUCUGGUGCACACAUCCACUUGCAAAUCCCUCUCCUGUUUUAUAGUAAAUACCAUGAUGAGUGCAACGUAUCUGAAGGGGUGGCAUCUUGGAGGAAUCAUGUUGCAGUCACAUCACUGAUGCACAGAGAAGAAGGUGAGGAUGCAUACUGAAAGCAGCCUUCCCCAAGCUGGUGCCCUCCAGAUGUUUUGGACUACAGCUCCCACCAGCCCCAGCCAGCAGCGGACCCAAGAGAGCAAAUAUUGGGGGAAGGUGCUCUUUUAGACCAGUACCCAAGUACCAAAUGGAUCCCAAGCCAUUUAGGGCUUAUUGCACCAGUGUCAACACUUUGACUUGGACCUGGUAGCUCACUGGAAGCCUGUGCAGUUCUUUCAUGACUGGCAACUCAUGGUCCAGUCGGGUUGCCCACAUUCCAACCUAAUACAGUGGUACCUCUGUAUUAGCCACAGGUUACGUACGCUUCAGGUUACAUAUGCUUCAGGUUACAGACUCCGCUAACCCAGAAAUAGUGCUUCAGGUUAAGAACUUUGCUUCAGGAUAAGAACAGAAAUCGGGCUCUGGCGGCACAGUGGCAGCAGGAGGCCCCAUUAGGUAAAGUGGUGCUUCAGGUUAAGAACAGUUUCAGGUUAAGAAUGGACCUCCGGAACGAAUUAAGUACUUAACCCGAGGUACCACUGUAGCUGCAUUUUGCACCAGCUGCAGUUUCUAGAGACCAAGGGCAGUCCCAUAUAGGGCGCAUUGCAGUAGUCCACUUGGGAGCAGACCUAUUUUGGGUGAUAUAGUCUAAUAUAUGCAAUGGUUAACUACACUGAGGAGGAGAUAUAAAAGGUACGUUCCCCUUUUUAGGGGUUCAAAGUUGUUGAGCUUCUUUUAGGGAGGGAAGAUGCUCGAUGCUCCGUUCGGCUCAAAGUUGUUGAGAGAGGGGAAGUGCCCCGUUUUAUGCCCGUUUUAUUGGGGUUCUGGGAGGAUUAGUCGCUCACCAAGUGAUCGCUGUGGAAGGAAUUUGCCUCACAGCAAAAACUCCAUCUUCCAUUCCAGAGACCAGGAGAAAAUGCAGGGAGGGGAGAGGGGCCGGGGCCGGGUGGUCUUAGGCAAAAGCAAAGGAAAAUGAGCCCGUGAUCGACUGCAACCUUCUGGGGAUCGGCCAGUCAAUCCCGAUUGACCUGUUGGCCAUCCCUGGUCUAAACCACAGAGCCUAGGGCCUGCUGAUCAGAAGGUUGGCGGUUCGAAUCCCUGUGACUGGGUGAGUUCCUGUUGCUCGGUCCCACCUUCUGCCAACCUAGCAGUUUGAAAGCACAUCAAGGUGCAAGUAGAUAAAUAGGUACCACUCGGGCGGGAUGGUAAAUGGUGUUUCUGUGCGCUGCUCUGGUUUCGCCAGAAGUGGCUUAGUCAUGCUGGCCACAUGACCCAGAAGUUGUACGCCAGCUCCCUCAGCCAGUAAAGCAAGAUGAGCGCCACAACCCCAGAGUCGUCCGCGACUGGACCUAAUGGUCAGGGGCCCCUUUACCUUUAUAUUCUGAGGGGGUUCCUCAUGUGAGCAAACAUACGACUAAAUCUUUUUGUAGGGCUAAAAAAUGUGAGUGUCCAACAGCUUGCUCACUCUCUCUGUGUGUUUAAACAGGACUGAGAGCAGAGAUCUGAGUUUCUGUUGGCUACUGAGGAAGGAUGCCUUAUUUGUGUGCAUGCUCAUGAGAGUCGGCAUUGGCCUAAAGCUCUGCUAGGUGCUAAGAAUUAAUAAAACUCCAAUGCUUAAGAGUGCGUUGUUUCUUUUUAGGGGAGGAUAGGGAAAGGAAAGAACCAGAACAGAGGGAGGCCACACAACAUUUCUCCUAUCCUGGAGAAGGAACGGUGAUAGCAACAACCACUUCUGAACUAAAAUAGUUUAGUUAGGUGCUGUUUCUGAAACUGCAAUGCUUAAGUGUCCAAAGUGUGUUUGAAAGGGAUGAAAACGGUGAGAAAACCAAAUGUGGCAACACCCCUGCAACCUUGUUGGCCAGGCACUCAAGAACUCCUUGCAGCUCCAUCCAGUCUAGUGAGCACCAGUCACCACUGGCAAACCUCCCCCCCCCAAUAAUGGGGUUCAGGAGUGCAGCUCUCUCUCUCUUUCAUACACACCAAGUGUGUACAUUGUUAUAGAUUUUGCAAUUCACAAAGCAGCAGGCACUAAUCAGUGGGUCGAAAUCUACAAGCCUUUCUUUAACUGCACCCAUGAACUCAGUUUUAUAGAAGCUGCUGUAUGGAUUUCCCCCUAUCUCAGCCAAUAGACUGGCUCUGUCUGUCCGCUCUUCUUAUAUCAUCAUAAGUGCUUUUGUGUGUGUGUGUGAAAACAGCUAAGCAUUUUAAUCCAGUGCGGGUGCCCAGCUGGAGUGCAUUGAUCCAAACUGUUGGCCAGUUGCUAGCAGGCAGAAAGCCAUCCUGGCCUGACAGCGAACUGCUAAGGGAGAUGCCUUUGAGGCUUCUGGCUCCGAGUGGCACAUCAGUAAAUCCCAGCUCAUUGGAUCAGUUCUGCAGCAGAGUCACCAAUCAUGCAACAACAACUUCCCAUCACUGGGAAUGCUAUUGCCAAGCAACUGGUGGGUUGGAGGACUAUUGGCAAGGCAGAGUGCCAGUACAUUGGAAAUUCACUUAGGGAAGGGCCAUAGCUCACUGACAGAGCUUUUGUCCUGCAUGCAGAAGGUCCCAGGUUCAAUUUCUGGUAUCUUCAUUUAAAGGCUGGGAGAUACCUCUGAAAUGCUGGAGAGCCACUGCCAGUCUGUAAAGCUAAAAGGACAAUUGUUCUGAAUUGGAGUGACCCUGAUCCAACCUGGAUCUGGGCUUCAAACUGAAUUGCACAGUGUUUAAUUAGAAUUGGGAGUAGGGGAGAAGAAGAUGCAGAUUGGCCAAGGAAGACUCUCAAUGCUGAUCGGUUUGUACAGGUCAGGUGAUUCCUCCCCAACUUCCACGGCAGAUCUGCCCCAUCUUCUCGGCAACUCAGAAGUUUGCUCUUGCAGCUUGAAGGCUUUCUUUGCUCCCCCUUCCCUUGAAUGGCAAUCAGGUCUGGCACUAAGUCUCCACCACUUGAGAAAUAGCUGAGUGAAUCGUCCCUUAAAUACAGGAGGUGACUUGAUGCCACCGCUAAAGUUUUAUGGAGCGUCAAAGUCCGGGGGGGAGUUAGGAUUUUUCUUGCAGGCACACACUUAGUCACCAGUUCGCUUUAGGGCCCAGCUCAAAGAGAGUUAUUCUCCUUGCAGGCUGGGUUUCAGGCUGCUCAAUCAUUCCUUGCCAGCAAGAUGCAGACAUAGAGCCACGAUCCUCAGAGAAGGAUCAUCAAUACUGCAGUAGUAAUAUAACCUUCAGCUUUCUCUAAGCCUCUAGUCAAUCACCUGUCAGUGGAACCCAUUUAUCCAGGGAUGCAAGGGAGGGGUGCUGGGUGGGGGAUGCUAUACUCUUCCAGAACGCCUCUUGACUCCACUUACGUGAUGUUCGCUGUUGCUUUUUGCUGCCUGUCUCCCUCUCUUGAGUCCUCCUCCCGCCUGGUGGUAUGGAGGCUGGAGAACUGCAACGAAAAUGGAAGCAGGAGUGGAAAUUGCUGGUUCUCACCCUAUUCAUCCUAUGAAUACGACUGGUUGUUCUUCUUCUUUUCAGUUCACAAAAAAAAUGUAAUUGAUUACCUCCCCCACCCCCAGUUGCAUUGUGUUUUGUUUGCAUUGAAAUGUAAUGUAGUAACAAUGUAAUUAAUGCAAUUUUACCACAGUGGACAGUGUGACAAACAAUGUAGUUUUGUGUGGAAGACGAACCGUAGCAGAAAGGAACCAGCGUUGCAUGUGAUGAAUACAGCAAGGAAUGGAAAUCAAUGCCUUCUGACAUCCCUGUGUGGUGGAGAAUAUUUCAUUGUUGGAGUAAGAUUCAUUGCCAGUCCAGUUGGCUUCUGUAGGUG
This is a non-coding RNA of Podarcis lilfordi (Lilford's wall lizard), 8822 nucleotides long. NCBI's taxonomy places the organism in Eukaryota, Metazoa, Chordata, Lepidosauria, Squamata, Lacertidae. The record is from the annotation of a GenBank genome assembly.